GGAGUGCCACCUGCCCCGUCAGUUGCAUCCGCCUCAGAGAUUCAGCGACAGUUUGGUGGAGUUCCGUCUGCUACUGCCGUAUCUGCGGUGUGUGUGAUUUGUGGAGGAUCCCACCAGGCGCGGCGGUGUGCGCUGCGAAAGGGAAGGUGUUUUCAUUGCGGGCAGUCUGGCCACUUGAGACAUGGUUGCCCCUUGGGCGAUGGACAACUCCCGCCGACAGCGUCGACAUUCACCUCUUCGGGACAGAUGGUGGAUGUGCAGCCUGUGGCACAGUCUGGAGGGCUGGGGGUGGUCGAGCAGCCGGAGGAUUCACAGGAGGCGCCAAGCGGCCCUGGAUACGCGGCUCACGUCGAGGAACCUGCUGCUGUUGGUGAUGUUACCGUAGGUAUGAUUUAAUUAAAGCAAUCAUACGUUCGAGCAUGAAGUAGUUUGAGCAAUUGUAUGCAUUUGCUUGUGAUCUUUUACUAUUAUUUACAUAUUGGUAUAGUAGAGACCAGGACGCAGGUCAGAGGAGUCACCCAGCAUGCAUAAGUCGUGGUGGUAUGUCGCCUACCUAAAGAAAUUGGUGAUUGGUCGGUGCCGGCAAGCUGCUGGUGACGAACCAGGAGCGAGACUCCCUUUGGGGAUCUAUGCGUUGUAGAGUGAGGAAGGGCACACCUAGCCGUACGCUGCUUGUAAACAGUCGGCAAACGUGUGGUGGAAAGGCAUUCGACGGAACUGAUUGCCUGGUAUCCCUCCUAUGGUCUGGGAUAAGUUUGGGAAUUGGUAUUCUCCGUUCACUUCCCCGACGGUGAGCGAGGAAGCUUCAGAAGGGUUUCCGAAGUUGUGGCAGGUAAACAGCACCGUGAGGCGAUACGAGCGGGAAUUCUCCCGUGUCGUGCGUUGCGUCCCGAACGUAGCGCGGGAUGACAAGGACAUGGCCGACUGCCUUGUGCGUGGACUUCGGCCAGACCUUUGCAAGACUGUGCUUGCACAUAAGUUGCAGACUUUCGCCGACGUCCGGGAUCGGGCCUUGUGGAUAGAACAAGGUGAGGAAUCCCUACGGGAGGAGCGCGAGGCAUACUACAAGGAAAGGGGAAAGGACAGCCAGUGAGUGGACAUGAUGGUCAGUCAAGUUCCCAACGAACUUCGAUAAGUUCGCGCUCGCGAUCCCGAGCUCCGGGGACUUACCACAUUCGGUCCUCGGCGAGAUGUGUUAUUUGUGGGGGCCCUCAUUGCCCACAACAGUGUGAACAGCGUGAGGGCAAGUGCUUCAGGUGUGGGCUGCCGGGCCAUGUGCGGGACGAGUGUCCGCAAAGGCGAUAGCCGGGCCUUGACGCUAACGACGGCCUAUCCCUCUCUGGGACAGCCUGCAGGUGUGCCACCUGCGGCAUGGUCGGGAGAGCAGCCGUUGAGGACGUUGCAAUCAGAGGGUUCGCGACGAGCGCCAAGUGGCCAUGGAUAAGCGACCCGAGUUGCGGUGCCUGCUGUUGUCGACGUCGUCGUAGCAGGUAUGAAUUAAUUGAGCAAGCAUAUUUUUGCAUGAUCCCAAGUUGUUGCAUAGCAUGCAUUCAUCGUUGGUCAGUUACUACUAUUACUACAUUACAUAGUAGGGACCGAGUGGUCGGGUAAGUAGGUACCCGAGCAUGCUAGCAGGAUGAGAGUAUGGCGCCUGCUGGGGCAGGUAGAGAGCCAUUGGGCACUAGCAAAUGGCUAGUGGUGAUUUUGGAUAAGAAACGAGGCUCGUAAUGGAAGUCGAAAAUGUAAGAGAACUCUCGAUGCAAUAGAUUAGAGAUUGCGAGAGUUGAGCCUUGAUGUUUGGGGACACCCGGAUAUCCCAAGAGUAUUUCGGAGGUGGAUUCGAUAGAUCGGACAAUGGUGAUGAACCACUGUUGCGAAAUUGGUUGAUUAGCGCCGAACUUGGCCUGUGGGCCUAGUAGUACCUCGAACUGAGGUGGACGAGUUGUUGCUCGUGUGGCCGGCGUGCAUAGGCUAAGCUGCCUGAUGCUAGACUUCGUGCGAGACGCUGUAGAGACGUAGAGCGCUCGAGUAUAAAUACUCGUGGAGUGCGGUUUCGGUUCAGCCGGUCGAGUGAGUUGGCAGUAGCACUUCGGCAGGGCUAAGUGUGAAGCGGGCCAUGGAUCACUCGUGAAAGCUGGUGGCUCGCACUAGGUGCCUAGGAGCCGGUAGAGUGC
Molecule: long non-coding RNA, 2174 nt
Filed under: Ananas comosus (pineapple)
Lineage: Eukaryota; Viridiplantae; Streptophyta; Magnoliopsida; Poales; Bromeliaceae
Description: long non-coding RNA (ACOM_LNC034256)
Source: RNAcentral